CGUACGUCUUCAGUCAUCAACCCAGGGUCCUAGAGUGUUUAAAUCAUCAGACACCCUCAUCUAGGCAAACUAGCCGGGGAUAAUCAGUCCCUGACUUAAAUGCAAGUGAUGCACUAAUCCAUGGAUUCCUGGGGUUUACAGUAAUGGCCUCCAGUGUUACUGGGCCACGCUUUCCCUUGCAACUUGAACCUAGAAGAAAAACACCAAGGAGGGGGUCACCCUGGUGAUAAGGUUAUCAAGGGGCUGCAGUGAGGUCAUCCAAACAGGGAGGAAGUCCCAGUUCUGCAGUCUAAGUGGC
This is a long non-coding RNA of Lates calcarifer (barramundi perch), 298 nucleotides long. RefSeq lists it as uncharacterized. Lineage: Eukaryota; Metazoa; Chordata; Actinopteri; Centropomidae. The record is from RefSeq and is a predicted model, not a curated record. The transcript is spliced from 3 exons.